AGCAGAUGGUCACAGGGUUACCUGCCCGCCGAGAUCCCUGUGAUGACUAAAUUCGGCAGGCUACGCUCGUAGAGUUCCGAGGGUCGAAUCUUUCGGACCCGGGUUCAAUUCCCGGCAUCUCCACAC
This 126-nucleotide transfer-messenger RNA is filed under the name Anaerolineales bacterium. RNAcentral describes it as "partial transfer-messenger RNA". It matches the Rfam family "transfer-messenger RNA", at positions 236 to 374 of the family's 374-position model. From Rfam's summary of the family: Bacterial tmRNA, also known as 10Sa RNA or SsrA, is named for its dual tRNA and mRNA-like properties. Its role is to liberate the mRNA from a stalled ribosome. To accomplish this part of the tmRNA is used as a reading frame that ends in a translation stop signal. The record is from RNAcentral. Lineage: Bacteria; Bacillati; Chloroflexota; Anaerolineae; Anaerolineales.